CUGAAGUUCAGGGCGUGACCCGGUGUAAACUCGGCGGUUAUCUUGCCCCGUUAUCUUUUGCAUACACACCUGACAUCUUUAACCAGGUAUAAGUAUUCCAUCCGAGUGAGCCACUGAUAAAUGCUGAUACUGUACUUAUCGCACGGUGAACGACUACCGGCUGUUACCGUUCGCCACCUCCACCUUACACCUUCCGUACCUUUAUUCCUGUAACGAUAGGAUUGGAACCGUCGAUGUGAAAUCAGCUGCAUUCUACAUAUAUCACUAGUUCGAUACUUCAAUCACCCUCGCAUGGCUUGCGAGGCGCGGAAGUCACAGUCGACGUUUGAUAAGCGUACGACUUUGAACCAUCGAUUAAAGCCACAUUGGACGGCUAUGCUGGACGGAAUUUCUUUAAUUAAGGAAUAAUCGCUCUGAUUAGAAAAAAUGCGUUGCAACGGCCAAAAAAGUAUUCCCACUACUUAAACGAACGA
Orussus abietinus is the source of this 473-nucleotide long non-coding RNA. RefSeq lists it as uncharacterized. The transcript is spliced from 3 exons. The record is from RefSeq and is a predicted model, not a curated record. NCBI's taxonomy places the organism in Eukaryota, Metazoa, Arthropoda, Insecta, Hymenoptera, Orussidae.